Molecule: ribosomal RNA, 675 nt
Filed under: uncultured Curvibacter sp.
Lineage: Bacteria; Pseudomonadati; Pseudomonadota; Betaproteobacteria; Burkholderiales; Comamonadaceae
Description: bacterial SSU rRNA
Rfam family: Bacterial small subunit ribosomal RNA
Source: RNAcentral
AGUGGCGAACGGGUGAGUAAAGUAUCGGAACGUGCCCAGUCGUGGGGGAUAACGUAGCGAAAGUUACGCUAAUACCGCAUACGAUCUAUGGAUGAAAGCGGGGGAUCGCAAGACCUCGCGCGAUUGGAGCGGCCGAUAUCAGAUUAGGUAGUUGGUGGGGUAAAGGCUCACCAAGCCGACGAUCUGUAGCUGGUCUGAGAGGACGACCAGCCACACUGGGACUGAGACACGGCCCACACUCCUACGGGAGGCAGCAGUGGGGAAUUUUGGACAAUGGGCGCAAGCCUGAUCCAGCCAUGCCGCGUGCAGGAUGAAGGCCUUCGGGUUGUAAACUGCUUUUGUACGGAACGAAAAGGUUUGGCCUAAUAAGCUGAGCUCAUGACGGUACCGUAAGAAUAAGCACCGGCUAACUACGUGCCAGCAGCCGCGGUAAUACGUAGGGUGCGAGCGUUAAUCGGAAUUACUGGGCGUAAAGCGUGCGCAGGCGGUUAUGUAAGACAGAUGUGAACUCCCCGGGCUCAACCUGGGAACUGCAUUAGUGACUGCAUAGCUGGAGUACGGCAGAGGGGGAUGGAAUUCCGCGUGUAGCAGUGAAAUGCGUAUAUAUGCGGAGGAACACCGAUGGCGAAGGCUAUCCCCUGGUCCUGUACUGACGCUCAUGCACGAAAGCGUGGG